This is a long non-coding RNA of Tympanuchus pallidicinctus (lesser prairie-chicken), 773 nucleotides long. RefSeq lists it as uncharacterized. NCBI's taxonomy places the organism in Eukaryota, Metazoa, Chordata, Aves, Galliformes, Phasianidae. The transcript is spliced from 3 exons. The record is from RefSeq and is a predicted model, not a curated record.
UGCUCUGCUCCUGCAGUCCUCAGCAGCUUGUUUAGUCCGGGUUUGUUAACAGGGUUGCCCUCCUCCUCCUUUCCCUUGCUUCCUCCUCUUUCUCUGCACCGAGGGCAAAAGCUGUAGCUGAUUUCAUCCUCAGGAAGAAGUUCUCCUGUUGUGGGCUGGACAGUGCAGUUAAGCUUCGUGUCACGGAUAAGAGGAAAAGGAAAACAGGGAGAGGGGAAGCGACGCAAACUGUAAAAACAGUGAAGGAAUCCUCCAGCUCCCCGGGGAGCUCAGGAAUGGGAAUGAGGGCCUACAUUUUCCAAUGGGAAGCACCAAGGGAAAAAUAAACUCUCCAGAUGAGCCGGAGAGCUCUUAGAAGCAGGCAGGUCCACACCACCAGGAGCAGAGCACCUGGAUGACCACAACCUUUCUACGUUGGUGAAGCUCCAUGGUGUGUGACGUAUGUGAGGACUGAGGCACAGCACAAGGUCUCUGUUGUUCCUUGUAGCUCUCCUGGGGCAGUGCUUACAGGCAGUGAAUUGAGGCAAAACUCCAACCAGGGGGAGAAGUAAAUUGUAACCGUACAGGAGAACAUUGUCCAGUGCAGCUGGCCCAGAUGAUGCAUUGAUGUCCUCACGAAGGCUAAAUCUGGAUGCGCAACCCUUCUCCAAGAGGAUUCCUAUUGCUGAGCUGAGCUCCUCGCCCCUCACUUCUGCUGAGAUUUCUCUGUCAAGGCUGGGACUGAGCACACAGCUGGGCUGCUGCCAAGCUCCCAUUUCGGAGGGCAGCUCGGA